UAACACGUGAGCAACCUGCCCUUGACUUCGGAAUACCAGUUGGAAACAGCUGCUAAUACCGGAUAUGACCUGGGUCCUCCUGGAUCUGGGUGGAAAGCUCCGGCGGUCAGGGAUGGGCUCGCGGCCUAUCAGCUUGUUGGUGAGGUAAUGGCUCACCAAGGCUUCGACGGGUAGCCGGCCUGAGAGGGCGACCGGCCACACUGGGACUGAGAUACGGCCCAG
Molecule: ribosomal RNA, 222 nt
Filed under: uncultured bacterium
Lineage: Bacteria
Description: partial 16S ribosomal RNA
Rfam family: Bacterial small subunit ribosomal RNA
Source: RNAcentral